This 253-nucleotide ribosomal RNA is filed under the name uncultured bacterium. Its description in RNAcentral is "partial 16S ribosomal RNA". It matches the Rfam family "Bacterial small subunit ribosomal RNA", at positions 524 to 776 of the family's 1533-position model. The record is from RNAcentral.
UACGUAGGGGGCAAGCGUUGUCCGGAUUUAUUGGGCGUAAAGAGCGUGUAGGCGGUUUGGUAGGUCCGCUGUGAAAACUCGAGGCUCAACCUCGAGACGCCGGUGGAAACCAUCAGACUAGAGUCCGGAAGAGGAGAGUGGAAUUCCUGGUGUAGCGGUGAAAUGCGCAGAUAUCAGGAAGAACACCCGUGGCUAAGGCGGCUCUCUAGUACGGUACUGACGCUGAGACACGAAAGCGUGGGUAGCAAACAGG